UGCACCACUCAAUGGAUUAAUACAUGCAGUCAGAUGGUACCACUGAUGACUGGUGACAUAAACAAUACUUUGAUGUUUGUCACAACAUACGAUGCGCGUGCUCUAGAUUUGAUGAGUAAGUAAGUAUUUCUGGAUUAGUUUGAUACCUUUCAGUUGAUGCUAGAAAUGCACUGAACCUGUGAUUGAGUCAAUGUUUCCUUACUUGAAUCAGUUUUAGAAGAAAUAUAUUCUGAGUUUCACGAAUUGAUUAUUUACAGUGACUUGCUUCAAGAUGAUUACGUCGGACAGCUGGAUUUGGAUGCUGAUGAGGAGGAUGCACUACUUGAAAAAGAAUUUGAGAACCGGCACUCAAUUUUUCUUGAUCAGGAUGGGGAAAAAGUACACAGGUAUAAUUUUGAUGAUGAUGAGGAGGAGGACAUUCUGGACAUUGGAGUGCCAGAAGAUUUGGCCUUAAUAGAAUCCGAUUACUCAGCAGCUGUCGAGAAAGCGCCUCAAAGAAUAGUUGAGCAAAAGGAUUCAACCAUCACAAUUACAAAUUUUCCAAAACCCACCACCCAAAACAACCCCAUCUCUAUAUCAAGCAGUGCGACGA
Molecule: long non-coding RNA, 592 nt
Filed under: Bemisia tabaci
Lineage: Eukaryota; Metazoa; Arthropoda; Insecta; Hemiptera; Aleyrodidae
Description: lncRNA ENSSSA1NGG003609
Source: RNAcentral